Molecule: unclassified non-coding RNA, 375 nt
Filed under: uncultured Gammaproteobacteria bacterium
Lineage: Bacteria; Pseudomonadati; Pseudomonadota; Gammaproteobacteria
Description: contains 16S-23S intergenic spacer region
Source: RNAcentral
UCCGGUUCAUCACCGGCAGUCCCCUUAGAGUCCCCAACUAAAUGCUGGCAACUAAGGGCAAGGGUUGCGCUCGUUACGGGACUUAACCCAACAUCUCACAACACGAGCUGACGACAGCCAUGCAGCACCUGUCUCUGCGCUCCUUUCGGCACUCCCAACUCUCAUCGGGAUUCGCAGGAUGUCAAGGGUAGGUAAGGUUCUUCGCGUUGCAUCGAAUUAAACCACAUGCUCCACCGCUUGUGCGGGCCCCCGUCAAUUCAUUUGAGUUUCAACCUUGCGGCCGUACUUCCCAGGCGGAAGACUUAUCGCGUUAGCUACGAUACUGAUCAGUUCCCCGACCAACAUCUAGUCCUCAUCGUUUACAGCGUGGACUAC